This 286-nucleotide long non-coding RNA is filed under the name Bos taurus (domestic cattle). Its description in RNAcentral is "long non-coding RNA NONBTAT006166". Lineage: Eukaryota; Metazoa; Chordata; Mammalia; Artiodactyla; Bovidae. The record is from RNAcentral.
UAAUCCGCAGUAUGCUACCAUGAAAUGUCAUACUGUGUGUGAUGUCCAUUUCUUGAUAUUAAUAUUUUUGCUAUAAGAUGGCCGUUAAGGAUAACCAAAUCAAGAUUACACGUGUUAUGUGUAUAAAUUUGGUAGCCUGGCAUAGUAAUUUGGAGCCCAGCUCUGUAAAUAACAUUUAUGAUAUUUUAUUCUUUCUCAGUAAUUGACUUCUUAGAGACUUGUUUCUCCACUGGGGAUACUGUUACUUACCUUCUUGGGUUAUUUUGAGAGAUACACAUUUCUCUCG